AAUUGACCUCCGAUCAGGUAGGGAUACCCGCUGACUUAAGCAUAUC
Molecule: ribosomal RNA, 46 nt
Filed under: Biatora hypophaea
Lineage: Eukaryota; Fungi; Ascomycota; Lecanoromycetes; Lecanorales; Ramalinaceae
Description: partial 28S ribosomal RNA
Source: RNAcentral